RNAcentral lists this ribosomal RNA (768 nucleotides) under uncultured sediment bacterium. Its description in RNAcentral is "bacterial SSU rRNA". It matches the Rfam family "Bacterial small subunit ribosomal RNA", at positions 1 to 763 of the family's 1533-position model. The record is from RNAcentral.
UUAGAGUUUGAUCAUGGCUCAGAUUGAACGCUGGCGGCAUGCCUAACACAUGCAAGUCGAACGGUAACGACGGGAGCUUGCUCCCGGGCGACGAGUGGCGGACGGGUGAGUAAUACUUAGGAAUCUGCCCAGUAGUGGGGGACAACUCGAGGAAACUCGAGCUAAUACCGCAUACGCCCUACGGGGGAAAGCGGAGGAUCUUUCGGGACUUCGCACUAUUGGAUGAGCCUAAGUCGGAUUAGCUUGUUGGUGGGGUAAAGGCCUACCAAGGCAACGAUCUGUAGCUGGUCUGAGAGGACGAUCAGCCACACUGGGACUGAGACACGGCCCAGACUCCUACGGGAGGCAGCAGUGGGGAAUAUUGGACAAUGGGGGCAACCCUGAUCCAGCAAUGCCGCGUGUGUGAAGAAGGCCUGCGGGUUGUAAAGCACUUUCAGUAGAGAAGAAAUGCCCAUGGUUAAUACCCGUGGGUCUUGACGUAACCUACAGAAGAAGCACCGGCUAACUCCGUGCCAGCAGCCGCGGUAAUACGGAGGGUGCGAGCGUUAAUCGGAAUUACUGGGCGUAAAGCGCGCGUAGGCGGUUUGGUCAGUCGGAUGUGAAAGCCCCAGGCUCAACCUGGGAAUGGCAUUCGAUACUGCCUGACUAGAGUAUGGUAGAGGGAAGUGGAAUUUCCGGUGUAGCGGUGAAAUGCGUAGAUAUCGGAAGGAACACCAGUGGCGAAGGCGACUUCCUGGGCCAAUACUGACGCUGAGGUGCGAAAGCGUG